Molecule: transfer RNA, 73 nt
Filed under: Canis lupus familiaris (dog)
Lineage: Eukaryota; Metazoa; Chordata; Mammalia; Carnivora; Canidae
Also listed under: 2 other names
Rfam family: tRNA
About the family: Transfer RNA (tRNA) molecules are approximately 80 nucleotides in length. Their secondary structure includes four short double-helical elements and three loops (D, anti-codon, and T loops).
Source: Rfam by way of RNAcentral
GCCUGGCUGGCUCAAUCAGUAGAGCAUGAGACUCUUGAUCUCAGGGUUAUGAGUUCAAACCCCAUGUUGAGUG